CCUACGGGAGGCAGCAGUGGGGAAUAUUGCACAAUGGGGGAAACCCUGAUGCAGCGACGCCGCGUGAAGGAAGAAGUAUUUCGGUAUGUAAACUUCUAUCAGCAGGGAAGAAAAUGACGGUACCUGAGUAAGAAGCACCGGCUAAAUACGUGCCAGCAGCCGCGGUAAUACGUAUGGUGCAAGCGUUAUCCGGAUUUACUGGGUGUAAAGGGAGCGUAGACGGAUAGGCAAGUCUGGAGUGAAAACCCAGGGCUCAACCCUGGGACUGCUUUGGAAACUGCAGAUCUGGAGUGCCGGAGAGGUAAGCGGAAUUCCUAGUGUAGCGGUGAAAUGCGUAGAUAUUAGGAGGAACACCAGUGGCGAAGGCGGCUUACUGGACGGUGACUGACGUUGAGGCUCGAAAGCGUGGGGAGCAAACAGGAUU
Molecule: ribosomal RNA, 424 nt
Filed under: uncultured Anaeromassilibacillus sp.
Lineage: Bacteria; Bacillati; Bacillota; Clostridia; Eubacteriales; Acutalibacteraceae
Description: bacterial SSU rRNA
Rfam family: Bacterial small subunit ribosomal RNA
Source: RNAcentral